RNAcentral lists this ribosomal RNA (253 nucleotides) under uncultured bacterium. RNAcentral describes it as "partial 16S ribosomal RNA". It matches the Rfam family "Bacterial small subunit ribosomal RNA", at positions 524 to 775 of the family's 1533-position model. The record is from RNAcentral.
UACGUAGGGGGCAAGGCGUUGUCCGGAUUUAUUGGGCGUAAAGAGCGUGUAGGCGGCCGUACAGGUCAGCUGUGAAAACUCGAGGCUCAACCUCGAGACGUCGGUUGAAACCGUACGGCUAGAGUCCGGAAGAGGAGAGUGGAAUUCCCGGUGUAGCGGUGAAAUGCGCAGAUAUCGGGAAGAACACCCGUGGCGAAGGCGGCUCUCUGGGACGGUACUGACGCUGAGACGCGAAAGCGUGGGGAGCGAACAG